RNAcentral lists this long non-coding RNA (1282 nucleotides) under Sus scrofa (pig). Its description in RNAcentral is "lncRNA (ENSSSCG00000058292.1, ENSSSCG00105006778.1, ENSSSCG00160027872.1, ENSSSCG00180027592.1)". Lineage: Eukaryota; Metazoa; Chordata; Mammalia; Artiodactyla; Suidae. The record is from RNAcentral.
UUCGCCAUUGUCCGCAGAGGGAUACCCUAUUGCAACUGAGAAGCCCUGCAGGAGGAAUCUGAGUUACGUGGAUUUUGUUCUUCACAGGCAGUUGAACCCAGUGUGCAGUUUUCCAGCCUCAUACAACCGGCUCUCAGAGACCCCUGCACCAGCAAGAAGCACCCUCUUCUCAGGGGCUUAAGUCUCAGAGCCCCUCCUCCAACCUUCUGACAAUUCCAGCCUCUCUAUCCUUAGCCCUGGGGGUAACUGCUGCUUCCUGAAAUUGCUGUUCUGGUAUAUCUAGUGUUCUCUUUACCCUUUCCGUGACCUAGUUAACAGAGGCUCUCUGCUAAAUUCUUUCUGUUAAAAUAACUGGUGUGUUUUUGUCUCCUACCUGAUACAUAGGAGAGAAUGACUUUUAUUCUUCACGUUGAUGAAACAAGUGUAUUUAUAGGCUGUGAUCAUGGAACCCCUAGAGCUAGGGGUCAAAGAAACAGAAGAAAGGGAAAACUGUGGCCAAAGUCAGAGAGUGUACAAAAGAGGAGGCUCACGGAUAGCAGGGGUGCUGGCCCAGAAGAGAAGCGGGGAAAGAGGUAAGGGUGCCUGUGGAGGAAGGCAUGUUUGUGGGUGGCAGAAGUUGAGAAAAACUGUGCAUAAGGGUCUGGCGUGUAUCCAGGAAUUAGGAAGAAAGCCCCUCUGCAGAGGUGGGAGGAUGAGAAAUGAGAAGCAGCAUCAUUAAGUGUGGAGUGGUCCCUGAGGGGAAUGAAAGAAUUUACUCAUCAAAGACAAGGGACAGAUGAGGACACAGGCUGAGGUGGAAAGAACAAAAUCUAUGACUCCUUGAUCUUCCCCACUGGGCCCGGCCACAACUGAGGGGUGCAGCAAGGAUACAAGGUGCGUCUUGAGGGUCCUGUUGGACAAACAACCACUUCAAGACACACUGAAGGGAAACGAGACUGUCACUGACUGAAUGGCUAGAGUGGUCCAUGGACUCCAGCCUGGGAGUUCAGGAAAACAUUGUUUUUUGUUGUAAGCUUUAAAGAAACACAUUUUACAUUCUGAAUCCCUUUUUCAGCAGUUCCAUCUAUUUGCAAAGAUUUACAUUUCAUAACUCAUUCUUUCUUAGGGUUCUUCUAAAGAACAAAGGGAAGACUGACUUAUUUUCUUUUAAGUAGAAUAAAACUCACUCUGUCUUAUACUUACCAUAUGAUGUAAGAUGGUGGCUGAGUGGGUUAAAGACCUUGCAUUGCCACUGCUGUGAUGCUGCUUACUGCUGUGGCACAGGUUCAGUCCCUGGCCUGGG